Molecule: ribosomal RNA, 253 nt
Filed under: uncultured bacterium
Lineage: Bacteria
Description: partial 16S ribosomal RNA
Rfam family: Bacterial small subunit ribosomal RNA
Source: RNAcentral
UACGGAGGGGGCUAGCGUUGUUCGGAUUCACUGGGCGUAAAGGGUGCGUAGGUGGUGAGGUAAGUCGGAUGUGAAAUCUCCGAGCUCAACUCGGAAAUGGCAUUGGAAACUACUUUGCUAGAGGGUUGGAGGGGGGACUGGAAUACUUGGUGUAGCAGUGAAAUGCGUAGAUAUCAAGUGGAACACCAGUGGCGAAGGCGAGUCCCUGGACAACUCCUGACACUGAGGCACGAAAGCUAGGGGAGCAAACAGG